CUGGAGGUAUCAGAAGUGCGAAUGCUGACAUAAGUAACGAUAAAGCGGGUGAAAAGCCCGCUCGCCGGAAGACCAAGGGUUCCUGUCCAACGUUAAUCGGGGCAGGGUGAGUCGACCCCUAAGGCGAGGCCGAAAGGCGUAGUCGAUGGGAAACGGGUUAAUAUUCCCGUACUUGGUGUUACUGCGAAGGGGGGACGGAGAAGGCUAUGUUGGCCGGGCGACGGUUGUCCCGGUUUAAGCGUGUAGGUGUGUGUUCCAGGUAAAUCCGGUUCACUUUAACACUGAGGCGUGAUGACGAGGCACUACGGUGCUGAAGCAACAAAUGCCCUGCUUCCAGGAAAAGCCUCUAAGCAUCAGGUAACAUCAAAUCGUACCCCAAACCGACACAGGUGGUCAGGUAGAGAAUACCAAGGCGCUUGAGAGAACUCGGGUGAAGGAACUAGGCAAAAUGGUGCCGUAACUUCGGGAGAAGGCACGCUGACAUGUAGGUGAAGUGAUUUACUCAUGGAGCUGAAGUCAGUCGAAGAUACCAGCUGGCUGCAACUGUUUAUUAAAAACACAGCACUGUGCAAACACGAAAGUGGACGUAUACGGUGUGACGCCUGCCCGGUGCCGGAAGGUUAAUUGAUGGGGUCAGCGCAAGCGAAGCUCCUGAUCGAAGCCCCGGUAAACGGCGGCCGUAACUAUAACGGUCCUAAGGUAGCGAAAUUCCUUGUCGGGUAAGUUCCGACCUGCACGAAUGGCGUAAUGAUGGCCAGGCUGUCUCCACCCGAGACUCAGUGAAAUUGAACUCGCUGUGAAGAUGCAGUGUACCCGCGGCAAGACGGAAAGACCCCGUGAACCUUUACUAUAGCUUGACACUGAACAUUGAGCCUUGAUGUGUAGGAUAGGUGGGAGGCUUUGAAGUGUGGACGCCAGUCUGCAUGGAGCCGACCUUGAAAUACCACCCUUUAAUGUUUGAUGUUCUAACGUGGACCCGUGAUCCGGGUUGCGGACAGUGUCUGGUGGGUAGUUUGACUGGGGCGGUCUCCUCCUAAAGAGUAACGGAGGAGCACGAAGGUUGGCUAAUCCUGGUCGGACAUCAGGAGGUUAGUGCAAUGGCAUAAGCCAGCUUGACUGCGAGCGUGACGGCGCGAGCAGGUGCGAAAGCAGGUCAUAGUGAUCCGGUGGUUCUGAAUGGAAGGGCCAUCGCUCAACGGAUAAAAGGUACUCCGGGGAUAACAGGCUGAUACCGCCCAAGAGUUCAUAUCGACGGCGGUGUUUGGCACCUCGAUGUCGGCUCAUCACAUCCUGGGGCUGAAGUAGGUCCCAAGGGUAUGGCUGUUCGCCAUUUAAAGUGGUACGCGAGCUGGGUUUAGAACGUCGUGAGACAGUUCGGUCCCUAUCUGCCGUGGGCGCUGGAGAACUGAGGGGGGCUGCUCCUAGUACGAGAGGACCGGAGUGGACGCAUCACUGGUGUUCGGGUUGUCAUGCCAAUGGCACUGCCCGGUAGCUAAAUGCGGAAGAGAUAAGUGCUGAAAGCAUCUAAGCACGAAACUUGCCCCGA
Molecule: ribosomal RNA, 1546 nt
Filed under: Salmonella enterica subsp. enterica serovar Nottingham
Lineage: Bacteria; Pseudomonadati; Pseudomonadota; Gammaproteobacteria; Enterobacterales; Enterobacteriaceae
Description: partial 23S ribosomal RNA
Rfam family: Bacterial large subunit ribosomal RNA
Source: RNAcentral